AGAAUCAACGCUGGCGGCGUGCCUAACACAUGCAAGUCGAACGAGAAAGUGGAGCAAUCCAUGAGUACAGUGGCGCACGGGUGAGUAACACGUGACUAACCUACCCUUGAGUGGGGGAUAACUGAGGGAAACCUUAGCUAAUACCGCAUAAUACCUACGGGUCAAGGGAGCAAUUCGCUUAAGGAGGGGGUCGCGGCCGAUUAGUUAGUUGGCGGGGUAAUGGCCCACCAAGACGAUGAUCGGUAUCCGGCCUGAGAGGGCGCACGGACACACUGGAACUGAAACACGGUCCAGACUCCUACGGGAGGCAGCAGUGGGGAAUUUUGCGCAAUGGGGGAAACCCUGACGCAGCAACGCCGCGUGGAGGAUGAAGUCCCUCGGGACGUAAACUCCUUUCGAUCGGGACGAUUAUGACGGUACCGGAAGAAGAAGCCCCGGCUAACUUCGUGCCAGCAGCCGCGGUAAUACGAGGGGGGCGAGCGUUGUUCGGAAUUAUUGGGCGUAAAGGGUGCGUAGGCGGUUUGGUAAGUCUUGUGUGAAAUCUCCAGGCUCAACUUGGAGUCUGCACGAGAAACUGCCGGGCUUGAGUGUGGGAGAGGUGAGUGGAAUUCCUGGUGUAGCGGUGAAAUGCGUAGAUAUCAGGAGGAACACCGGUGGCGAAGGCGGCUUCCUGGACCGAUACUGACGCUGAGACGCGAAAGCGUGGGGAGCAAACAGGAUUAGAUACCCUGGUAGUCCACGCCGUAAACGGUGAGCACUAGGUGUAGCGGGUAUUGACCCCUGCUGUGCCGCAGCUAACGCAUUAAGUGCUCCGCCUGGGGAGUACGGUCGCAAGAUUAAA
RNAcentral lists this ribosomal RNA (841 nucleotides) under uncultured bacterium. Its description in RNAcentral is "bacterial SSU rRNA". It matches the Rfam family "Bacterial small subunit ribosomal RNA", at positions 26 to 898 of the family's 1533-position model. The record is from RNAcentral.